CAGCCACGCGAGCAACUCCUCCUCCGGCGCGCGCCCGGUGGCUAAAAGCAAACACCUCCAGCGGCGCGGCGGGACCGGGGAUUUCCUCCACCCAUUUUACAUUCUCCAUCAUCGACUGACUGCCUCAGCUGUGGCCCAGAGCAUGAAGCCAGCUGACAGCAGUCACCAGCUCGAUCAUCUCCACUAGAGGGAGGGCUCUCUCAGAACAAGGCCACCAAGGAGCUGCAGCAGAGGAUUUUUUAAAGCUGUGUAAACUGGGAGAGCGCAGGCCUGUGACCUUUCCUGUCUGACACUGGUCACCCGCUGUCACGUGGCAGGCUUGACCCACGGCGGUGAGUGAUGGCUGCAUACUCUGCUUCACCUCCCCGUGUAACACAUAUGCUCUGGCAAAGACGCACACCGUGCCCACUGUGGAGGGAAUAAACCGCCUCUCACUCAGCAGCACACCAUUGCUCCUAACGCAUCAAGAACAUAAUAAAUCACAAAUUAGAAGUGGAUGUAUUUCGAGGGGGUGGACCUUCUAGAAAGCACUGGUCCAGAGCUUAAUUUGAUUCUUAAUGGAAGGCAAAAUUUCCAACGGAAAACUUUCAUUGGCCACAAAAUGACUUUCCUUAGUUUUCACGUUGUUGCACCGAGAGAGAGAGAGAGAGAUUGAGUUUGAUAAGUGCUGUCGCUGCAGUGCCAGCCCAUGCAUGGGGUACUUCAUUUAACCCAUUUCUGUAAUUUCUUCACUAAACAGGGGUGAUUAAAAAGCUACCUAAAUAAAUGGAGCAUCCACUGAAAGAAGAAGUUUUCUUUUUAACUUCUUAACCAAACAUCUGGUUCAUUACUUGUCCUUUAAACAUCUCAUUUGUAGAAUAAGGAUUUGAGUCUUGACUGUAUUUGUCAUUUCAUACAAUCUACAGAUUUCGGAGUUUUUAGGAUUUGUUCAACAUUUUGAUGUCUAUAUUCCAACAUAUUCUUUUUCUGUUUUGCAAAA
This is a long non-coding RNA of Pseudoliparis swirei, 979 nucleotides long. RefSeq lists it as uncharacterized. The transcript is spliced from 3 exons. NCBI's taxonomy places the organism in Eukaryota, Metazoa, Chordata, Actinopteri, Perciformes, Liparidae. The record is from RefSeq and is a predicted model, not a curated record.